This 74-nucleotide transfer RNA is filed under the name bacterium. RNAcentral's name for it is "tRNA-Thr". It matches the Rfam family "tRNA". Rfam says of the family: Transfer RNA (tRNA) molecules are approximately 80 nucleotides in length. Their secondary structure includes four short double-helical elements and three loops (D, anti-codon, and T loops). The record is from RNAcentral.
GCCUCUUUAGCAUAGUGGUAGUGCCCCCGCCUUGUAAGCGGGUUGCGUAAGUUCGAUUCUUACAAGAGGCUCAA